CUUGGUUUACAUUGAUAUGUUGCCAAUAUUGUUAGUGUUUGAAUUCAUACUUAAAACUCAUUAAAGAUCUGCAGGGCACACUAUGACGGGGGACCACCGCACGUGGAGUCUUAUGCGGUUGCUAACAAAAACACAUUAGGGCAUGUACAAUCUAAUAAUAUGUUGUGGUUCUUCGAGUAGUAGAUAUAUCUAAAAAACUUCUUCAUACAAUCCAACAUAUCUAAGUCUUAUAUCUUAUUCACUAGAAUCCCUCAAGAUAUAACUUAUUUAUAUAGGUUGUUGUAUGAGUGAAACCACAUCUAAACUUAGAGAACCGUGGUAGAGACAAUUCUUCACCAAGAUACUCACCCUCAACAAACUAGGGCUCAAGACCGUCCAGGAGUGGACGCUGUGGUACGACCAUCUGCAGGUUGGUGGAUGGACGGUCGUCUACGAGGGCCUGACGUUCGUCACCAUCCGCGGAGCCGGGCACGAGGUGCCUCUGCACGCGCCGCGGCAGGCGCUGACGCUCUUCAGCAACUUCCUGACAGGCACCAAGACGCCCACAACGGCGUUCCCCUAGUUUCAAAAGAAUUAAAAAAAAGGUGCCUCCUCUUGCCCGGCAAAGCCGGCUGAUAUGUUUCUUUUCCCCCUUCUCGCUUCUACCAAAGUUGCAAGUGUAAUUCGAUUGGAAAAAAGUUCAGAAAUAAAAGUCAUAGUGCUGACCUCAAUGCUCA
Molecule: long non-coding RNA, 716 nt
Organism: Zea mays
Lineage: Eukaryota; Viridiplantae; Streptophyta; Magnoliopsida; Poales; Poaceae
Exons: 2
Source: RefSeq, a predicted model, not a curated record